AUUUAAAUAGCUUAUAAAUUAGAGUUUAACAUUGAAGAUGUUAUGGUGAAAUUAAUUUCUUUAGAUA
Molecule: transfer RNA, 67 nt
Filed under: Orthomeria smaragdinum
Lineage: Eukaryota; Metazoa; Arthropoda; Insecta; Phasmatodea; Aschiphasmatidae
Description: tRNA-Phe
Source: RNAcentral